Molecule: long non-coding RNA, 666 nt
Organism: Pistacia vera
Lineage: Eukaryota; Viridiplantae; Streptophyta; Magnoliopsida; Sapindales; Anacardiaceae
Exons: 3
Source: RefSeq, a predicted model, not a curated record
GUACCUGCCUUUUCCCCAAUUUUGAAAUCCCUACCACCAUUUUAUUUCAUUUUGAUUUUAUUGCAUCGCCUACAUUCCUUCUCUUCCCGUCGUUGAGCUCCUUUGCCGUUGUCUCCUUCCCUUUCUUUUAGGUCUUCAGCGUCCAGAGAUCGAACUUGACAUUGAAAAAGCUUCUGAUGCUGUUGUUGUUCAAAAAGGAAGCGGCUAUUCUGGUUGAGGGCUCGUUUUUUAUCAUAAGAGCCUAGUGGAAGCAGUGAAAAAAUUUGAUGUUGUAAUCUGCACCAUGUCUCGGGUACAUUUCUGGACCCACAACAUUUUGUUGCAGCUGAAGCUUGUGGAGGCGAUCAAAGAAGCUGAAAAUGUUAAGCAUUGAUGCUUUUAUGAGAAGGGCUAGAAUGGUUGUGCUCGUAAGCUUCUUUCUGCGUCUAUAGAAGGGCUGACACAACAAUGCUGAAAUAGAUACUGAUGGUGAUGAUCAACUUUAUGCAUCCGAAACAAAGUCCCUUUUGCCUAAUGAUGCAUGAACAACUUGGCUUCUGUACCAACUUCAAAUCUGAAUAGAGAGUAGAUUGAAUAGAGAAGCUCUUUUAUUAAGUUAAUCUAAUACCCAUCUGAAACUACUACCCACCUGAGACAAUAAAUAAUCAAUUUAAUUAAUUAAGUUAA